RNAcentral lists this ribosomal RNA (692 nucleotides) under Escherichia coli. RNAcentral describes it as "partial 23S ribosomal RNA". It matches the Rfam family "Bacterial large subunit ribosomal RNA", at positions 1214 to 1890 of the family's 2925-position model. The record is from RNAcentral. Lineage: Bacteria; Pseudomonadati; Pseudomonadota; Gammaproteobacteria; Enterobacterales; Enterobacteriaceae.
CUAUGUGUUGUUGGGUAGGGGAGCGUUCUGUAAGCCUGUGAAGGUGUACUGUGAGGUAUGCUGGAGGUAUCAGAAGUGCGAAUGCUGACAUAAGUAACGAUAAAGCGGGUGAAAAGCCCGCUCGCCGGAAGACCAAGGGUUCCUGUCCAACGUUAAUCGGGGCAGGGUGAGUCGACCCCUAAGGCGAGGCCGAAAGGCGUAGUCGAUGGGAAACAGGUUAAUAUUCCUGUACUUGGUGUUACUGCGAAGGGGGGACGGAGAAGGCUAUGUUGGCCGGGCGACGGUUGUCCCGGUUUAAGCGUGUAGGCUGGUUUUCCAGGCAAAUCCGGAAAAUCAAGGCUGAGGCGUGAUGACGAGGCACUACGGUGCUGAAGCAACAAAUGCCCUGCUUCCAGGAAAAGCCUCUAAGCAUCAGGUAACAUCAAAUCGUACCCCAAACCGACACAGGUGGUCAGGUAGAGAAUACCAAGGCGCUUGAGAGAACUCGGGUGAAGGAACUAGGCAAAAUGGUGCCGUAACUUCGGGAGAAGGCACGCUGAUAUGUAGGUGAAGUCCCUCGCGGAUGGAGCUGAAAUCAGUCGAAGAUACCAGCUGGCUGCAACUGUUUAUUAAAAACACAGCACUGUGCAAACACGAAAGUGGACGUAUACGGUGUGACGCCUGCCCGGUGCCGGAAGGUUAAUUGAUGGGGU